Molecule: long non-coding RNA, 214 nt
Filed under: Physcomitrium patens
Lineage: Eukaryota; Viridiplantae; Streptophyta; Bryopsida; Funariales; Funariaceae
Description: long non-coding RNA (PPAT_LNC005411)
Source: RNAcentral
CUUGCUUUACAAUUUUUGUGGCAAUCUAGUACUUGACCUGCGAGCAAUGCUUCUUCAAAGUUGAGUCAUUGGGCCUACUACUACAGCCGACCCUCUUCACUCAAAAAUUUGUUAAAACUUCAAAAUUGCUUCAAAUUUAAUUCAAUCUAUGCCAAUGGAAGCUCAACUUAAAGGUGCUUAUAUUUCCAAAAUUUCAACAUGAUCCCAUUAAGUG